UCAUUUAGUGAGCCCUCGAUUUGAAAAAAAAGGAAGAACAACGGUUGUCUUCCUCGAUUCUAAAAAAGAACCAGAUCUGAACUUUUCUGCCUCCGGACUUCCCCAUAUUCCUUCUCUAUUCUUCACAAUGAUUUUUCUUAUUCCUCUCUUGUUUACCUUCAAAUACUGAAGGAUUCGGAGGGGGUGGACCUUCCGUGGGGUCGGAGGUCAAAGGUCGAUUAUUCAAGUUUUCCGGCAAUGCUCGGUGGCUGGCGGUGGGGUCGGCCGACCCCACGAGACCCCACCUGGGUCCGUCAGUGAUUAUAGUCCGAGUAGAAUGGAGAGUCAACCCGCACAGAGAAGCCUCUCGCUAAACCUCCGCCGCCGUUCCUCUCAACAGCCACCACGUCUUCAGAUGUUCAGGCCAAUCUGAUCAAAUUCUGGAUUGUUUAAUUGCAUAGCCAGUGAAAUAACCACACCAGCCGGUGAAUAUGGAUUACAAGACCUAUUAAUACACCAGCCUGUGAAAAGUCCAAACGAUUGAUGGGGAAACAGAUAAACAUAUUUCUGUUUGGAGAAAGCACAGAGACAGUGUUGUGCCACUUUUUCUUAUGCUAGCCUUUAUGCGCAAGGUCAAAUGAGCUCUUUGUGCUAAGCCAGGCCACUUAUCACAUUCACAACGAGUUUAUGAGGCCAGAAUCGGUGCACCCACCCAGAGCUCAAAUGCAUUUCCACUCCUCCCCCCCCCCGCUUAGUCAGGAGGUGGAUUUUCCAGGAUAUUUGCAUCUCUACUUCUGACCAAAUAAGUGGUAGCAUUUACUCAUCUGGCCUUGUUAGCAUUGGAAUUGGUGCUAUGCCCCAGACACGGAAAUUGGCUGACGAUAUAGAACCUGUUGGAUCCCAGAUUCCCAUACAAGUUCCUUCAUCUCACAUUUCAAUUGGCGAUGGUCCACAAACGCUGAAAACGACAUCAUUUCUUCAGUCUCUCAUGCUUUGGCCAGCUACUGAUGGAACCUUCCAGUUAUGCAAAAGAACCUGGAAAUGCUGAUCCUACUAAUGCAGCUCUGUUUUCUGAGCAUCCUGGGACAAAAGCCACUUAUAACCUUUGGUGAUGCAUUAGAUAUGUACCAUACCAUCUCAGAGAAGUGGAAUGGAGGGUAGCGUAUUACUGCUCGAAGUCAGUUUUGACCACUUCGAUAUUAAGUGUCUCUCAGUUCAUACUAAAGCCAUCAAUGAGGAACUACUGCAAAAACUUUCUGAUGCUCUACAUUUUUCGCUACGUGAUAAAAUUGGAGUUGGUCUUGCUGGGUCCAAAAUCUGAAGAUCACGAUACCAGGAUGUGUGGAAAUAAUUUCAGUUUGAGUCAGAUUAAAGAGCUGUGUGCCAAUCCUAUUGUAUUUGAGGCGACUGAGAUAAUUCAACAUAUUCUCGUGUUACUCUUAGUUGAUCUGAAGGGCCUCUCUAAGCAUUCAGAUUCAUUCUUGCAAAUGUUAUCUCUUGUGCAACUAAGGUGCUUUCUGUGAUAGUUCCUCGUGCAAAAAUAGACUAGAAUUUCUUAGUCGAUCUGAAGGCCGAAGCCCAACUACGUGGAAAUCACUUCUUCAGCGUUGUUAAAAACGCGCCGCACUUGGGUGAGCAAGAUCUGGGGGCGGCGGCCCGGUGGGGGCAAGUCGUGGGGCGGCAGGGGGCGACUGAGUUCUUAACUUAGAAGAAGCGGGGGGAAAGAGAAUAGAUCAAGUUUCUGAAAGAUGUUCAGGACCUCUCUCCUAGUCACAUUCAACCUUUGGGUUCACUUUUGAAUAUCUUUGUGGAAGCUUGUCCCACUAUUUUAAAGGACUAAGCCAUGGAGCCUGAUGAGAAACUUAUACUAAAUGCAACACAAUUGAUGGUAUCAAGGUUGGCAGGAAGUCUUUUGCUAAUGUAACCUUUAAGGUUGAGUCUAAGGCUGCGUAGCAAGCAUAACUCGGUCACGUGUUGAGAGCGCUACUUCAGUGUUGAUAAGUUCUAGAGAUGUCCCCUGUUCUUUAACAGUAAGGUUCUCGCUUCCGGUAUAGGGGUGUGAUCAUGGCACGACUGCUUACUUGCUUUUUACCCAAACAUGAGCUAAGUAGGAGCUAACUUCUAAAUGAGGCAAGACGAGAGAAGAAAUAACUAACCCCCAUCACCUAACUUCUAAAGCAAACAAGGGAGUAUUUUGUGUCCGCUCACAUUUUCUCGUCCUUCACAUAAAGGGCAAUGUUAAUAUUAAGAUUUGGGGUUAGGGUCUUUGUGCAUUUUGAUUAUGUGGCUGUAAAUAAUUUGAUUAAUUUCUCUCUGAUUUGUUGAUUCUGAAUUUUCCUUUUUCAGCAGUGUAUAUAACAAUGUGAAUACUAAAGAAGUUAUGUGUUUUUAAGUGGCAGGACUAUGCCACGGAGCCUGAUGUGAAUUGAUUCUGAAGUUUCCUUUUUCAGCAGUGUAUAUAACAAUGUGAAUACUAAAGAAGUUAUGUGUUUUUAAGAGGCAGGACUAUGCCACGGAGCCUGAUGAGAAACUUAUACAAAAUGCAACACAUUUGAUGGUAGCAAGGUUGGCAGGAAGUCUUGGUAAUGUAACCUGUAAGGUUGAGUGUAAAGCUGCGUAGCAAGCAGAACUCGGUCCCGUGUUGAUAGCUCUACCUCAGUGUUGAUCAAGUUCCAGAGAUGUCCCCUGUUCUUCAGCAGUGAGGUGUUAUAGCUGUAACCACUACUCGUAGGAUUUUUAUGCUAAUACACUUUGAGCACACAGUUUUGUAGGGACUAACCCGGAGUUGUCCUGAUUCUCACUUCUGGUAUAGGGGGGCACCACCCCUUACUUGCUUUCUACGUAAACAAGGAAGUAUUCUAUCUCCCUUUACAUUUUCUUGUCCUUCACAUUGAGGCUAAUGUUUAGAAUAGUUUUGAGGUGUGGGUGUUUGCGUGCAUUCUUUUUUUGUGGUUGUAAUUUAUCCUAUUUGUGUUUGUAUGCAAGAUUUUCUCUAUUGAUUUUCACCAUAAAUACUCUUUUAUGGGUUAUUAGUGUAGACUAGUUUCUCUCGAGGGUUGGAGAACUAAGAUUCCCUAAUUUAAAACACCUAACUUAUUAAUAUUUUAAUAUGUGAAAAUGAAUUUGUGCUGCUGAACAAGACACGCUGCCGAACAAGACCAAGUACAUAUCUUAUAGUAUUUUCUCUGGUCUCUUGAUAUUUUCUCUCUGGUGAACGUGGAGUCUGUUGAUGUUUUUUUCGAUAAAUGGGAUUUACUUUUUAAAGCAAUAAUACUAGCAAAUAACUGAUAUAAAAAAUUUGGUAAAAGAUUGUGUUAAUUUAAUCCAUUGUCUAUGGGUUUGGGAUUCAUAUUGUUUCUAUUUUGCCCUUGUUGCAUUUUAACCUUGUAUACAUGCAGUCCAAACCAUUGAUGGGAAACAGAUACAACUUUCUAUUAGGAGAAAGUAUAGAGAAUGUUGUGCAACUAUUUUUUAUGCUAGCCUUUAUGUACAAGGUCAAAUGAGCCUUUUGUCCUAAGCUAGACCUGUCAUAUUUACAACAAAGAGUUUAUGAGGUUAUUCUCUGACAAAUUCUAGGACAUCUAAGUUGAUUCAGGUGGUCAGGUACAUAUUAUGAUAUUAUUUAUUUUCAUCUUUGUGAUCUUUAUUUGUGUCUCAUUUCAUUUUUUUCAUUUGGUUGUAUCAUUUUGCUCGUUUUCCAGGCAAGAAUCGAUCCAUCCAGAGCUCAAAUGCAUUUCCAGUUUCACCCUCCGCUUCAUCAGUAGGUGGAUUUUCCUAUCAAUUUGCAUCUCUACUUCUGACGAAAUGAGUGUUAGCACUGGAAUUGGUGCUAUGCCCCACACACCCGAAACUGGCUCUGACGAGAUAGAACCUGUUGGAUCCCCGAUACCUCCAAGUUCCUUCUUCUCACAUUCAAUUGGCGAUGGUCCACAAACUCCUGAAAAUGACAUCAUUCCUUCAUUCCCUCCUGCUUUGGCCAGUUAUUGAUGAAACCUUUCAGUUAUGCAAACGAACCUGGAAAUGCUGCACAUCAUACUAAUGAAACUCUGUCUGCCGAGCAUCCUGGGACAAAUGUACCAUACUAUCUCAGAGAAGGACAAUAUUUCCGAAGAUGCACCAUAUAAUUUCAUAGGCUGGGCUUGGUCUAGAAGUGGGAAUGAUCCUACAUGAUAAUGAUGAAGCACAAGUCCGAAUAGCAGCUGCUGAAAAGGAGCUAAGGAGGAGUUAACUUCUAAAUGAGGCAAGAUGAUAGAAGAAAUACCUAACCCCCAUCACCUAACUUUUAACGCAAACAAAGGGAGUAUUUUGUUUUCGCUCACAUUCAUUUUCUUGUCCUUCACAAAAAGGACAAUGUUAAGAUUAAGAUUUGGGGACUAUGCCACAGAUCCUGAUGAGAAACUUAUACGAAAUGCAACACAUUUGAUGGUAGCAAGGUUGGCAGGAAGUCUUGGUAAUGUAACCUGUAAGGUUGAGUGUAAAGCUGCGUAGCAAGCAGAACUCGGUCCCAUGUUGAUAGCUCUACUUCAGUGUUGAUCAAGUUCCAGAGAUGUCCCCUGUUCUUCAGCAGUGAGGUGUUAUAGCUGUAACCACUACUCGUAGGAUUUUUAUGCUAGUACAUUUUGAGCACACAGUUUUGUAGGGACUAACCCGGAGUUGUCCUAGUUCUCACUUCUGGUAUAGGGGGGCACCACCCCUUACUUGCUUUCUACGUAAACAAGGAAGUAUUCUAUCUCCCUUUACAUUUUCUUGUCCUUCACAUUGAGGCUAAUGUUUAGAAUAGUUUUGAGGUGUGGGUGUUUGCGUGCAUUCUUUUUUUUGUGGUUGUAAUUUAUCCUAUUUGUGUGUGUAUGCAAGGUUUUUUCUAUUGAUUUUCACCAUAAAUACUCUUUUAUGGGUUAUUAGUGUAGACUAGUUUCUCUCAAGGGUUGGAGAACUAAGAUUCCCUAAUUUAAAAACCUAACUUAUUAAUAUUUUAAUAUGUGAAAAUAAAUUUGUGCUGCUGAACAAGACACGCUGCCGAACAAGACCAAGUACAUAUCUUAUAGUAUUUUCUAUGGUCUCUUGAUAUUUUCUCUCUGGUGAAUGUAGAGUCUGUUGAUGUUUUUUCCGAUAAAUGGGAUUUACUUUUUAAAGCAAUAAUAGUAGCAAAUAACUGAUAUAAAAAUUUGGUAAAAGAUUGUAUUAAUUUAAUCCAUUGUCUAUGGGUUUGGGAUUCAUAUUGUUUUUAUUUUGCCCUUGUUGCAUUUUAACCUUGUAUACAUGCAGUCCAAACCAUUGAUGGGAAACAGAUCAACAACAUUCUAUUAGGAGAAAGUAUAGAGAAUGCUGUGCAACUAUUUUUUAUGCUAGCCUUUAUGUACAAGGUCAAAUGAGCCAACAACCAGUUUAUGAGGUUAUUCUCUGACAAAUUCUUGGACAUCUAAGUUGAUUCAGGUGGUCGGGUAAGAAUCGAUCCAUCCAGAGCUCAAAUGCAUUUCCAAUUUGACCCUCCGCUUCAUCGGUAGGUGGAUUUUCCUAUCAAUUUGCAUCUCUACUUCUGACGAAAUGAGUGUUAGCACUGGAAUUGGUGCUAUGCCCCACACACCCGAAAUUGGAUCUGAUGAGAUAGAACCUGUUGGAUCCCCGAUACCUCCAAGUUCCUUCAUCUCACAUUCAAUUGGCGAUGGUCCACAAACUCCAGAAAAUGACAUCAUUCCUUCAUUCCCUCCUGCUUUGGCCAGUUAUUGAUGAAACCUUUCAGUUAUGCAAACGAACCUGGAAAUGCUGCACAUCAUACUAAUGAAACUCUGUCUGCCGAGCAUCCUGGGACAAAUGUACCAUACUAUCUCAGAGAAGGAGCUAAGGAGGAGUUAACUUCUAAAUGAGGCAAGAUGAGAGAAGAAAUACCUAACCCCCAUCACCUAACUUUCAACGCAAACAAGGGAGUAUUUUGUUUUCGCUCACAUUCAUUUUCUUGUCCUUCACAAAAAGGACAAUGUUAAGAUUAAGAUUUGGGGACUAUGCCACAGAUCCUGAUGAGAAACUUAUACGAAAUGCAACACAUUUGAUGGUAGCAAGGAGUCAAGGAGGUGUUAACUUCUUUGGAGCCAAGAUGAGAAAAGAAAUACCUAACUUCCCACACAAACAAGAGAGAUCUCGCCUAUCACAUAAAGGGAAAUGUUAAGAUUCAUUUUGGGGGUGUGGGUGUUUGUGUUUGUGUUUGUGUUUGUGUUUGUACCGUGUGCCCUUUGUAUUUUGUGUAUAGUAAUAGUGUAGUGUGCUAGUGUAGAGUGCGCAUUGUUUGUAUUUUUUAUAUUGUAUGAACCGUGUGUAUUUUGUGAA
Salvia splendens (bonfire salvia) is the source of this 6300-nucleotide long non-coding RNA. RefSeq lists it as uncharacterized. The transcript is spliced from 28 exons. The record is from RefSeq and is a predicted model, not a curated record. NCBI's taxonomy places the organism in Eukaryota, Viridiplantae, Streptophyta, Magnoliopsida, Lamiales, Lamiaceae.